AACCUGGAGACAGGUGCUGCAUGGCUGUCGUCAGCUCGUGCCGUGAGGUGUUCGGUUAAGUCCGGCAACGAGCGCAACCCGCGUCGUCAGUUACUAACAGGUAAUGCUGAGGACUCUGGCGAGACUGCCCGUGUUAAGCGGGAGGAAGGCGCGGAUGACGUCAAGUCAGUAUGGCCCUUAUGUCCAGGGCUGCACACGUGCUACAAUGGCCGGUAUAAUAGGCAGCAAUAUCGCGAGAUGGAGCAAAUCCCCAAAACCGGCCUUAGUUCGGAUUGGAGUCUGCAACUCGACUCCAUGAAGUCGGAAUCGCUAGUAAAGGCGUAUCAGCUACGACGCCUUGAAUACGUUCCCGGGCCUU
RNAcentral lists this ribosomal RNA (358 nucleotides) under uncultured Victivallaceae bacterium. RNAcentral's name for it is "bacterial SSU rRNA". It matches the Rfam family "Bacterial small subunit ribosomal RNA", at positions 1025 to 1382 of the family's 1533-position model. Lineage: Bacteria; Pseudomonadati; Lentisphaerota; Lentisphaeria; Victivallales; Victivallaceae. The record is from RNAcentral.